Molecule: ribosomal RNA, 440 nt
Filed under: uncultured bacterium
Lineage: Bacteria
Description: partial 16S ribosomal RNA
Rfam family: Bacterial small subunit ribosomal RNA
Source: RNAcentral
CCUACGGGUGGCAGCAGUGGGGAAUAUUGCACAAUGGGGGAAACCCUGAUGCAGCGACGCCGCGUGAGUGAUGAAGGAUCUCGGUAUGUAAAGCUCUUUUUAUAGGGGAGAUAAUGACGGUAUCUGACGAAGAAGCCCCGGCUAACUACGUGCCAGCAGCCGCGGUAAUACGUAGGGUGCAAGCGUUAUCCGGAUUUACUGGGUGUAAAGGGGGCGUAGGCGGCAUGACAAGUCUGAUGUGAAAUCCCCGGGCUUAACCCCGGAACUGCGUUGGAAACUGUGCUGCUGGAGUGCGGGAGGGGUAGGCGGAAUUCCUGGUGUAGCGGUGAAAUGCGUAGAUAUUAAGAGGAACACCGAUGGCGAAGGCGGCUUGCUGGACUGUAACUGACGUUGAGGCUCGAAAGCGUGGGGAGCAAACAGGAUUAGAUACCCGAGUAGUC